Helianthus annuus (common sunflower) is the source of this 432-nucleotide long non-coding RNA. RefSeq lists it as uncharacterized. The transcript is spliced from 3 exons. NCBI's taxonomy places the organism in Eukaryota, Viridiplantae, Streptophyta, Magnoliopsida, Asterales, Asteraceae. The record is from RefSeq and is a predicted model, not a curated record.
UCGUGAGAAGCCAGGAGGGGACUCCUUCCCUCACAAAACCCUAAAUCACUAAAUUCCCUCAAUUGAGAGCUAGAUUAUUGAAGAAAUCGAAUGCAUGACCCAAAUAUCUUGAUUAUCUAAGUGUUCUUGAUCUCAAGCACAACGAAGGAAGAAGGCGCAAGUCACUCAAAGGCACAAGCAUCACAAGAUCGCGGUAAAUCCAUUGCUUGAUGCGGCGCACUCGGACCGAACACACACACGUUAUGUCAAUCUUAUGCGCUUCCGGUCCAAGUUGUUGUUGUUUUGAUGGGUUAACUUACCUUUUUGUCUAGUAAAAUGUUAAUUAGUAAGUGUCUAGUGUUAGUAAGAAGUUUGAAUACUAAUUUUUUGUGUAGUUUGUACAAAGUGUUCAUGGUGAACCUUAUAUGGUCUUAACCUUUGCUUUGUUGGGAA